UAAGUGGGCACAUGGGAGCACCCUCAGCUCCCUCUCCAUGGGAUACCCUGUGGGGCACUUCAGAGUCCCCACCAGCAAGAAGGCUCUCUCUCACCAGAUGUGCCCCCCGCCAACCUUGGAUGUCUCAGUCUCCAGAACUCUUCCAUAUCUUCCUGAGGCAUUGCAGCCUAAAUUGGAACUCUGGAGCAGGAAGCUUGCAGAUGAGCCAGCUCCCUUGUGAAGCUGUAAGAACAUGGUACUUACAGGAGUAAGGCUCAUGAAGUGGAGAGAUGAGAAGACUUUCGGGACAGAUUGUGUGGAGGCUGUCAUUCUCCUCGUGACAUUGCUGUGGGAGAAGAAGGAGGCAUUCCAUGUUGGCUUCAGUGAAGAACUUCAGGUGCUGUUAAUUUUCUUGUGGAGAAGGAACUGUCUUUAGAAAAAUAUCUCAAAAAGCCACUGAAGUAGAAAGUUUCAGCAUGCUGAAGAUGGAACUUGAGAAGAUAGAAAGUUCUGGGUCCUUAGUGGCAUGACUGAGUCGCUGGACCACUGUUGGAACCACCCUAUGUCUUAGUUUUUAAAUCUCUUUACUGUCUAAGACAUUUUUAGUGGAAGUAUUUAUCUCUGGCAUCCAAUAAGACCUUUAAGGAUUUGCAGUUUUAUCUAUGUGUUUGUUUAUUGUCUGCUCCACCCUACUUGAUUGUGAUCACCAUGACAUCAAUGACUGUGCAUCUUUUGUUCACUCAGGAAUAUCCAGUGCCUGCCACGCAGAGUGUGCUGCAUGUACAUGCUCACUUGAUAUCUGUUGUAGCAAAGAGUGAAAGAGAGAAGGAAUAAAUGCUUUCUCCCAUGAUGAGGGGACAUGGGGUCCAGACAAGCUGGACCAUUAUCCCAGGCCCAGCGCUCUGCUUUAUUUUUUUUUUUCCAGUACAGCAUCACAUUCAGUUACAACAGAGUGAAAUCUCCUAAGAACACGGCUGAUUAUUUCUUGAUUGCAAAAAGGACUCACUAACCCUCCGAUCUCCUGUAACGCAAGUCAAUGCUCUUCUAAUCUCCUUUUAGACAGCACCUGUACUUGUCAGUCAACGCAUGGUAGUCUGGGCUAGCCAAGUGAAUCCUUAACUAAACUGAAGUGGUGCUGAUCAUUCAGCCUUCAGAAUUGAAAAAAUCACAGCAUUGCUGAAGGAAAAGGCAUUUUUCAGGUAGAGAGGCAUAAGUCUUGGGCCAGGAAGCUUCAGUAAGAAGACAAUAAUUUCAUAGAAAUGCAUUAGCUUGGGGAGUCCAACUGCUGUUCUUGCACCUAAGAAAUUCAGAGGAGAGCUCUUUGCUUCCUUGCUCAUUCCAGUGGUUAGGAGUCAGGCCUUGUCCCAGAAUGUUCAGGUUGAUGCUUACCAUUUAAGCCUUAAGUUAAUCCGUUGAAGCUCCAGGCCUUUUAUGGGAUUCACAAGAAUAAACAGCAUUUAACUAUAGAUUCUCAAAGGUCAAAUCUUCAACCUAAAUCUGAGGAUUCAAAGCAUUGUUCACUCUAAUAAUUCUGCUAGUUCCCAACUUCACACAAACCAUUUAUUUCAGAAUGUAAACCUUGAAUAAUCUUUUCUUACUUGUAGUUUUGUGGUCAUUUAGAAAACAGCAAUACUCUAUUUUAAUUGGAACUAAGUGACAAAAAUAAGCCACUUCAUUAGUUUUCUAGAUAACGGUAAAAUGUAAGAACAAAAAGCCACUUCUUUUUCCACGUGGUAUUUUACAGUGACUUUUUUUUUUCUUUUUACUGCAUUUUAAAAUUCUACUGGAGGCAUUUCUCGGAAACUUUCUCUUACUUGUUAAUGAAUCAUCCCCUUUGAGAAUCAGCAGGUGAUUUCAGGAGCCCAGGUGUGAAUAAUUGAUUUAAGGUCGACCUUGUGGGUGGAGCCAAUGUUUACCAAGUGCAUUCAUUCGACAAACAAUUGAUGAACACCAAAUUAGAGUUCAAUUCCAGAUAACAAAAACCAGUUGAACUAAUUUCAUCAGAAAGCUACUUAAUAGGGGUAAUUAGGUGCUUACAAAAUAGAAGGGCUGGAAGCCCAGGAUCUAGGCUGACACCCAUGUAGCUAGACCCUGGAAACUGGGAUUCCAGCUGCACAGAACAGCCAAGUGUGUUCAUGACUGUGCUUGUUUGUCAGCAGGAGCAUGGCCCUGCCUUGUGAUACUGUGUUUUUCAGCUCUCACGUGGCUGAGUCUGUUUGGAGAAGUUGGUUCAAGAUGCAGCUUGACUCUCAGGGAGUCUGAAUAACUACCCUUAAUAUUGUUAGCUUUCUGGUCUCCAGCACACAGUAUGAUUUUCUGGAAGAAGGAUUUAAUGUAGUUAAAUAUGCCAACGUGUAAUAUCUGAUGUACAUUUCUACCCUGCUUGGGAUACAAAAUAAAUAAAAGCCAGUUUCUGUCUGUAAGGAGUGUACAGUUUAGUAAGAAGACAGACUCCUGAACAAAGAUGUAUACUUCAAUGUUGCCAGCCCAGGAUUAGAGAUGGGUAUUAAGAGGACCUCUGAUGAGUGAUAUUUUGCAUCUGGUGCAGGACAGUUCCCUAGGUGGCCUUGGACCAAACCAGUCCUCCCGCUUUCUCACUUGUAGUUUUAAGAAUAACUAGAAUGUGCUGGGAAUGCAACAUCCCGAGAUAAGGCCUAGGCUCUGUUCCAGUCCCCGCUAGAAACAGGAUGUCCUUCAGCACAUUAAUCCAGCAGGUCAUGUUAUCCCUGGAGUAGAAAACCCAGAGACGGCUACUUUCCAGGGUCCUGCAUCUGGGGUGCAAGUGAGGCACACGCAGAUGAGACUCCACCUGCCCUGGGCAGCUUUCCUGAGCCUUGAGAAACCAGCUCACCAUGAAUCCAAGGUGUCUGCUGUUCCUUGCCACCAUUUCAUGGAACCUGUUGUAUGUACCUAUUCAUGUUUUCCAUGUUUCAAAUAUGACUGAACCUGACAUAUAUAAGAACGCAAAAGAUUCUUCAAAAUCAAACUGUGUCCGGAAUUGGUGGGUUCUUGGUCUCACUGACUUCAAGAAUGAAGCCACGGACCCUGGCGGUGAGUGUUACAGCUCUUAAGGUGGCGUUUCUGGAGUCUGUCCCUUCUGAUGUUCAGAUGUGUUCGGAGUUUCUUCCUUCUGGUGGGUUCGUGGUCUCGCUGGCUCAGGAGUGAAGCUGCAGAUCUUCACGGUUGCUAGUAACACAAUAAUAAAGCUGCUUUAUUUUCCAGUGAAGAUGUAUGUGAUAGGGAGUGGAGGAAGAAAAAGGCCAGAAAAUUCCAUAGUUAGCAAAUAUACCUUUCUUACUUAAAAUUCUUUUUCCAAUGUGAGCCUUCUAAAGAGUUACUGAGAAAUUAGGUGAGCUCACCUCAUUUAAUGCAAUAGAUAUGUUUCUGAAAAAUAAGCAAUACAUAGGACAUUGGCCAAUUAAGAAUUCUGAUGAAGAAGAAUUUUCACAUCCGAAAGAGUAAAAAUGAAAAACGGUACAAAUGUAGUGGCUUUUAAAUUUCAAAACAAAUUAUUUUGAUAAGAUAAAUAUUCCUCUCAUAAAGUGAAAAUGGAAGAGACUGCUUGCUGGGUGUUCGUCAAAAUGGAGUUAGAUGGUCUGUCCCAGACUCCCCUGUUGUUAGUUCUGAGAACAGAAGUAAUGGUGCUUCUUCAGGACUGGCUCAUAGAAACCUGCCGUGUUCAGCCCCCACAAUCCUCUCCCUUCUGCUGGCUGGAAACAAAUGACAACGAAGCCUCACGUCUUGGAGAAACCACACUGCUGAGGAACUCAAGUCCUAGAAGAACCAUUUGAAGAGACCCAUCUCACUAAAGAAAAUCACACAAGCAAGAAGUAAACUUCAUUGUAUCUAUGUAUUUAAUUGUCAUAACAGUCUACCUUAACUGAUACAGCAAAAAUUCGCUCCUUUUCUGGACACCCAGUUUCAAAAUCUCAGUGUCAUUUUUUACUUCUCUCUUUUCAGGUUGUUUAAUAUAAUAAAAUUUGUGUGUGUGUGUGUGUGUGUGUGACAAGGUCUUGCUCUGUUGCCCAGGCUGGAGUGCAAUGGCACGCUCCCAGCCCACUACAGCCUUGACCUCCAAGCUCAAGUGUUCCUCCCACCUCAGCCUCCAGAGUAACUGGGACUACAGGCAUGGGCCACCACACCCGGCUAAUUUUUGUACUUUUUGUAGAGACAGGGUUUCACCAUGUUGCCCAGGCUGGUCUUGAACCCCUGGGCUCAAGCGAUCUGCCCAUCUCCACCUCCCAAAAUUCUAGGAUUACAGGCGUGAGCCACUACACCCAACCAUUUUAUUUUUAAAAGUUUUCUUUGCAAUAUUGCUCACAUUGUUUCCUUCCUUUUUAUUCUUAUUGUCACUCCCAAGUUCAGGCUUUUACCUCUUUUAUUUGAAGUAUUAAAGUAUACUUCUAAGUCAUUUCUGUGGCUUAAAUUUAUUUAAUCCACUCCAUCCUGCAUCCUACCAACACAAUAACAUUGUUUCAUCAUUUCAAAUUGAAAUCGAAACUCUCCAAAGCUUUCCUACUGCUGAAUGGAUAAAAACACAAAAUCCUCAAUAGAGAAUUCACUUUCUGGAGCCAACUUACCUUUCCAAAUAUUUCCCAUUAUUCCCUAAGAGAAUCCUCCUGACAUACUCACUGUUUUUCAUAUACACUAGACCUUUUCUCAACCACCUAUUUGUCCACACAUUUUUCUUCCAGCUAGAAUAUUAUUUUCCCUUUCUCACUUCUGAAAGUCUUACCUGUCAUUCAUGGUUCAUCUCAAGCUCAAUCUUCUCCUUGAAACCUUUAAGCAUACCCUCCUGGAAAGUUAUCUCCCUCACCUCGAACCACCCCCCCAGCCCCUGCCAGAAUCUCCUAUAGGGCUGAUUGUUUAUCCUGCUUAUUAUAUAUUUAUAAAACACUCCACUGAGUUAUUAAUUACCUUUUCCUUGACUGUGAAAACAUGACUCUGGCUUCAAGGUAGGACCAUUUUUUCUCUAACACUGUGUCUCAUACACUUCAGCACAAGCUCUUAGUGGCCUGUGCAUUCAACUCCCAUGCAUAGCCACUUCCUCCAGGCAAACCCCACAGCCAGCAUCCAAAUUUUAAAAGGGGUUCUGUCAUCAACCCAAAGUUUCUUCUCUCUCAAGGAACCUAGAUUUAGAAGUUGAGUCUAGGCCACCUGUCUAAGAUACAGUAGUUAAUUUAACAUAUUUUAUUGCUCUCAACAUCACAGAGAAAGAGCCUUACUGCAGAUCUCAUUCUUUCCUUCAAAGCCAGUUUGCCCAUUCCUCUUCAGAAACCUUUAAGAGUGGUUAUUGGGAGAGAUGAUAAGACUCCAUCUGCUUAAGGAGUCCCUCUAACCCAGAAUAGUAGAUGUAAACACCUGACAUGUUGUUAUAGAGUGAAUGUUUGUGUUCCCCUCCAAUCCAUAUGUUGAAAUUCCAAGCCCCAAUGUGUUCGCAUUGGGAGGUGAGGCCUUUGGGAGGUAAAUAGAUCAUGAAGGUGAAGUCUUCAUGAAUGGAUUAGUGUCCUUAUAAAAGAGACCCCAGAGAGCUCUCUCAUCCUGUUUCUGCCAUGUGAGGACACAGCAAGAAGUUGGUCAUCUGCAACCUGAAGUGGCUCCUCCCCAGAAACUGAAUCUGCUGGGGUCUUAAUGGUGGGCUUCCCAGCCUCCAGAAUUAUGAGUGUAAAUGUUUGUUGUUUAAGCUACCCAGUCUAGGGUAGUUUGCUAUACUACCCCAAACUGACUAAGAUACAUAUGUUUGUCAUCCACUCAGUUGUUUUCCUAAAAUAAAUGAAGUCAGCUCCAAAGAUGAAUUUUCAUCUCUUUUUGUAGAGAUGGGUGCUAUUAUGCUUUUUAAUGAACGUUUAUUCACAAAUAAAAACAAAACAUACCUCUCACAUCCUCAGAGCAAAUACUUACAGUAACAUACAUUGAUGCUCACAAGCUCAUUACAUUUCAUGUUUACUAUUCAUUGAUAACAUUACAUUUAUUAUUAUCACAUAAACCAUACCUCCUGUUUAUGAAGCACUUAUGGUGUUUUAGUCAAUGUUAUGGUACCUGCUAUAUAUGGUCUCUAAUUUUAUUUUAACUUCCUAUAGUAAACAAUAUUAGGUGCUAACUCAAUAGUCAUUUUCUAACCUGAUUUUUCCUUGCAAACAGAACCCCAAAUUUGUUUGGAGAGAAAUGUGUCCAAAUCCAAACAAAGCAUCACCAUUUCUUUGAACCAUCAUAAGGAUCUAAUCAUUUUUUUUGUUUUCCUAGCCUCCCUCUAGCCAGAGAUACUGGGUAACACAGUUCUGGCUGAGAAGACAAGAGAAGAAAUCUGCUAAGCAUUUCUGGAAAAAGUUUUGAUUUGCUGAUGAAAGGGAACAGACAUACUGGUUGCCUUCCUUUUCCCUUUCAGCUGCCUAGUCGCCAUUUUGCAAUGUGAAACAACAUCAUUAAGGAAAGAUCAAAACAAUUGCAGAGAUGUCAACCAUCAUGCCUUUGAAUUCAUGCUCACAGUUGUCUGCCUCCAGAUUCAGUUAUAUUUGAGGUACUCUUUGAGUUAAGAUCCUUCUCAUUUUAUACCACUUGCAGCUGAACACACUCCCCACUAAUUUACCUUGUAAGGUGAAUUUCACUUAAAGGAAGAACACAUAAGUCAGGGAAUGACACAUAAUAGUAAAUGCAGGGUUUUUUUUUCUAUUUAUGAUAUAGAUUUAUACAACUGCUAUGUUCUUGACAUUGUACCAAUUUCAAGGUACAAAUAAGACAUAAUCCCUAAAAGCAUGGGUUACAAAAUCUGGGUUCAGCAUAGGGUUUCAUGAUAAACAAACAAACACAAAUUGUUUUUUAUUGUAUUUCCUUCUUCUUCACAUCUUGUGAAUCUAAGAAAAAUAUCAGAAUGUUCGUUUCAGCUCAAUUUUUGAAGAGUACAAUCUCUAAGUAAAAAGAAACUGUAAAUGUUUAUAAAUGUAACUAGAGCCUAGUAGAAAAUAAAGCCAUGCAAGUGUGUUUAGGUCCUAAUCUUAUUAACCAGAUUAGUGACACACAGUCUGCCCAAAGUUAAUGAAAGCAGUGAGGUUCUUUGACUUCAGUAGAUACACACCUGAACCACAGAGAUAAACUUGCUUCAAACCUGUGCGAUAUGUUUUUCUAAGCAUAAAAUUGAGCAUGAUAGCUCCAAUUUCAGUCUCAGUUUCAAAGCUUCCCUUUCCCGAAUAAGAGGCAAACUGUCACAUUAAAUUUAGCGAAUUAAAAUCAGUUAACUUGAAAAGCUCUUGGCCCCAAUGCAGAGAAAAUUGUUUGCAUAAUAAUAACUUAUUUCCUUUUUUAAAAGGCGGACUUCUGCCUGAAUGCUUCUAUAAACUUUUAAGAAAAUGGGAUUCUCAAAUCUCAAGCGUAUUGGGUUGCAGUUGGCACUUGAAGCUGGGGACAUGCAGAGCUGGCUAAUGUCAGCAGCUGUAGGACUGUCAAGAAAAAUAGGUGGAAGGGACACUUUUAUUAUAAGUAGACUUGCAAGGCAUUCCAACUUUCAGCUGCUCAACCCAGUAUACCAAACACCUCUGACUACCUCAAGUGUGGCCUUGCUGAGUGCUUCCAUAUUUAGGGGUUAUUAGACAGGACUGAAGCAAGUGACCUCUAAUGAGGAAGCAAUCAGGGCAGGCUCUGACCCUCCUCAGAGGUACUGUAAUGAACUGGCCUUGGAAGGUCUUUGAUGCUGCCUUUGCAUACUGUAUAUGAGCUUUCUGCUCAGUCAUUUCCUCUGCGCUCUGGUAGCACAGCAUGAAGCCUGCUAUUAGAAAAAAGGUUUAUUGCUACCUUGCAAACAUUUAUUGGGUAAUAUCUAAAACAUGGUGUCAAGUUAUAGUAAUGCGCUGUUCUGGGAAACUUUUUGAGAAUUUUAGUGUUUCAGAAGAUGGUCCUUUGAGAAUUCUUCUGUUUCAGAAAUGAAAAGUGGUAGAUAUAUACGUGUGUGUGUAUAAUAUGCUCAUGUAUCCUCUGAUUACUUGCCAGAGAUGUACCAUUUUUCUUUCAAGGGAAACAUCUAUUCCUAAGAUAGAUUAUUCUUGAAAUUUUCAAAGAGUAUGCCUCAGAGAACAAAUAUACAAAUUUACCAUUUGUCUGCAGAUAUUAUUUGCCUGUGUUUAUGCUAGGUCACUGACACCACACACAUUUUAAUCCCCAAGGGAAUUUAUUUGGUGGUGUUAUCUACUCAACCAAGCUGAAGCUUAUCUAGUUCACAAGAAAAUAGUCAAUAUGAGCUCCAUGCAGACUUAUGCUGUUAAUGCAGAAGAGGGAAAGAGAAUUUACCUUUAACUGUUAUGAUGAAAAUGUGUACAAUGACACUUAACUAUGGCAUGCAAAUCCUCUUUUCCUCCCCCACAGGUAUCUGGAAAGUACCUUAUACAGCUAGGUGCUUAGAAAAUGUUUAUUGAUUAAAUAGAUGAUGAUUAACAGAUUAAUAAAAGGUGAAAGUUACUAUCUAUGCAUUUUUUUCCAGUUUGAUGUUCAAAAACUUACCAAUGGAUGGGGAGUUGCUUUUCAUAAACAAUUUAUAAAGCACUGUCCUGGAUGAAAUUGUAAAAAGGACGUGGUGUCAAAGAUGACUCAGUGGAGUUGAGGUGAAAAAUGUGUAAUGAGCAAAUCAUGGUAAUUGGGAUAUCCAUCACCUCAAACCCUUAUCAUGUCUUUGUGUUGAGGACAUUUCAAAUCUUCCCUUCCAGCUAUUUUGAAAUAUACAACAAAUUAUUGUUAAGUGUAGCCACCCUAGUGUGCUACUGUACACUAGGACUUACUUAUUCCUUCUAUCUAACUGUAUUUUUGAACCCAUGAACCAACAUCUCUUUGAUUUCCAGCCUGGGCUUUGGUGUCCCUUUUUUUGUGUGUUUUCAUAGGGCCCUAUAUUUAUAUUAUUUGGGCUCAACACAUUGCAAAACUGCAGAGGAGUUUACUAUUAUGCACAUUAUUAUUCUAUAUUCUGUCACUCUAAGAAACAAUAAGUGACCAUCUGAAGAGACCAUCUUCUAGCACCAAAAUAUUUAAAGAUGAUUAAGAAUAAGACAAGGGUCUCCUUAUUUACAAAAUGACAUAAUUGAAAGGACUAGAUUAUUAGCAACCCCUCUGGAAAAGGAUUACUCUUUUGGAUUUUAAUUACAUAACUAAUAUAUCAACUGAAGUGCUAUGCCCUGACGUGUGCUCCCCUCAGCUUCACGAUCCAUAUGUUGAAACCCAACCCCUUAAUGUGAUGGCAUUUGGAGAUGGGGCUUUGGAGAUAUUAGUUAGGUUUAGAUAAGGUCAUGAGAAUGGGGCUCUUAUGAUGAGAUGAGCACCUUCAUAAAAAGAGACACGAGGUAUUUCUCUUUUCUCUCUUCUCUCUCUCCCUCUUUCCCUCCCUCCCUCUCUCCUCCUUCUCUGUCUUCCUCCUUUAUGUGAGGACAUAGCCAGAAGGCAGCUGUGUCUGCAAGCCAGGAAGAAAGCCCUCACCAGGAAUCAACUAUAUCAGCACCUUGAUCUUGAACUUCUAUCCUUAGAACAGAGAGAAAAUGAAUUUCUAUUCUUGAAGCCACCCAGCCUACGGUAUUUUGUUAUGGCAGUCAAGCUGAAUAAGAUAUAUAUCUACACUGAGACCAUUAAAAGUAGUUCCUGAUUGGCAGAAAGGUUGUAUAUAUAAAUGGCUCAUUGAAAGUUCUCACUGCAUGGAUGAGAAAUCUCAGAUUGAGGUUCUUAAAUUUUGAAAAAUAGAAAUAAAGGAAUUAACGCAACAGUCUUCUAAUCUUUCUGCCUUCAGUUUUUGCUCCCUUUGACUAUUCUCUGUACACUGCAUCCAGAGGUUAUAUUUUGACAGGGAAAUUCAAAUGAUGUAUAUUAUUUUUCUACUCAAAAUCUCCCCACUGGCACCCUAUUGUCCUAAAGCAUAAACUGCUAUUGCAGUCAAUUCACCUGAAAUAAGCUCUCUUCCUGCCGCGUCUUUUACAUAGAUUGUUUACUCCUCUUGUGAUCCCAGUUCCCUGCUUCUCCCUCUCCUCCACACUUUUCAAUAAUUAAAUUAUACUCAGCGUUCAGAAUUCAGUCAGGAUAUCCUACCUUCUUUGGUCAGCCCCCCAGGGUUUUCUGAAAGCUGGGAAGAGGCCCUCUUCUGCAAUCCCCAUGCACUGUAGACACAUCCCCUUUAGGUCCCUAUGUUGUGAGUGACUGUUUUCUUGUCUGUCUCUGCCACUAUAUUAUGCACUCUUAGAAGGCAAGGACUACUUCUCUUCAUUGUAUACCUAGAACUUAACCCAAAAACUGGCAUGUGCAUGCACCCAAGUUUUCACUGAGAAAAUAAUUGCAUGAGUCACUUGCUUUCCAGGUCUUUCUGACUACUAUGAUGGUGAUGACUUGUAGUCACAACAUGAAAUUGGUUUCUGCCCCUGAGGAUUGUAUCUCUCUACUUUGCAUGACCCCUAGAUUUCAAUCCCUCUUUAUUCUCUCCUGAUCCUUGGGUUCCAGUAAUUCUCUGGGUUUCAAAUAUAAGCACAGUGUGAGGAGCUCUUCAUUCUUGACAGAACUUUCAGGCAAGAAAGAAAUAGAUUCCUGGGAAUAUCUAUAUUCCCUCUGGCCCUAUUCCUUACUCCCAAAACAUAAUAACCCUUUUCUUAGGUUUUUUCUCUCUACCUUUUUACUUCUUCCUUAUUCUCACGAUUACAUGAAUUAACUGCCUACAGAGUAUGAAUUCAGACUGAAUUAAUAUGUAUUUAUGUGACAUAAAAGAUCUCUUUCAGUACUUCUUAAUCUUACCAAAUGAUGCAUACUAUACAAUAAAAAAUUGCAAUUUUUUCAUUAGCUUUUUUUUUUUUUUUUGGUUUCUGGUAGGGUUUUCCUUUAGUGGUAUUUUAGCAAGUAAUACAAUCCAGUUAUUUUUAAAAGUAUAUUAGUAGAAACUCACCAGAAGUCAAUAUACUGGUCCAAGAAUAAUUAACUGAUUGACUUUAUUGUUUAUGAAACUUUGUAAUGUUCCUUUUGAUGUGAAUGCUUAUCUUAGGGGGAAAUGCACUUUUCAAAUAUAAAUGAUCAUGUUUAAACAAACUGCUUCUAGUUUCAAAUAUGGCACUGAAAAACAAAAUAAAAUAAACACUCAAUUUUUAUUUAAAAUGGUGGGCAAUUUACUUUCUUUUUUGUUUGGGAUCUGAUUCAAGAGCCUCAAUUCAGCUUAUUGCAGAACUAACUAAACUAAACCUCAAAGGAAAAAUUUUAAAAAUGAUUUUUAUAGCAAUGACAUCAUUAUAUAAAAUGUUGGCAUUUCAUAUUUUCCAAACAGAAACUUGGAAAUAACAGAAUACAAGUUAAAUAAAACAAAUUGAAACUAAUCCAAUUCUCUGUUUUUCUUUCCCUUUUUAAAAACCAAGCUUUUUAUUGCCAGCUUUUACUUUGCAUAAUAAUAUAUGAUGAAUUGUCCAAGAAAGACCCAGUGGGUACAUUUCUCUUAGAAAUAAGCCUCUCUAUGCAAUAGGAGGCCAAGUUCUAGGGCAACAUACUUAUAUAAUCAUGUAAGAUUUUCCUUAUUGCUAACAAUUGACCAACCUGGGCAUUUGUCAAAUAUGUAAACACAUGGAGGUCACUGGUCACCAGAGGAUUGAAAACACAAAUCACUCUAUUCAUAUCCAUCCCUAGUUCUAGAAAAACAAUACCAAAUUAAAGCAUAUAUCCUACUAGCAAUAGGACUAGCAAAAUUAUUUUGGUAUACCAGAGCUACAUGUUAUACAUUUUGCUACUUAUGGAUUUAAUUACUCAGGAUAAUUAUACACAUGGCUACAACUGUAAACUUUAUAAUAUUUUGCUGGCAUACCUUCCAAAAGAGUUUGAAAAGCUAUGAAUUUAAUUCUAUAUUUGCAUUUGACAUAUAAAGUAC
RNAcentral lists this long non-coding RNA (11833 nucleotides) under Homo sapiens (human). RNAcentral's name for it is "HSALNT0022114". The record is from RNAcentral. Lineage: Eukaryota; Metazoa; Chordata; Mammalia; Primates; Hominidae.